This 514-nucleotide ribosomal RNA is filed under the name uncultured microorganism. RNAcentral's name for it is "bacterial SSU rRNA". It matches the Rfam family "Bacterial small subunit ribosomal RNA", at positions 9 to 524 of the family's 1533-position model. The record is from RNAcentral.
GAGUUUGAUCGUGGCUCAGGACGAACGCUGGCGGCGUGCUUAACACAUGCAAGUCGAACGAGAAUCUACUGAAAGAGUUUUCGGACAAUGGAAGUAGAGGAAAGUGGCGGACGGGUGAGUAACGCGUGAGGAACCUGCCUUGAAGAGGGGGACAACAGUUGGAAACGACUGCUAAUACCGCAUGAUGCAUAAGGGUCGCAUGAUUCUUAUGCCAAAGAUUUAUCGCUUCAAGAUGGCCUCGCGUCUGAUUAGCUAGUUGGCGGGGUAACGGCCCACCAAGGCGACGAUCAGUAGCCGGACUGAGAGGUUGAACGGCCACAUUGGGACUGAGAUACGGCCCAGACACCUACGGGAGGCAGCAGUGGGGAAUAUUGGGCAAUGGGCGCAAGCCUGACCCAGCAACGCCGCGUGAAGGAAGAAGGCUUCGGUAUGUAAACUUCUAUCAGCAGGGAAGAAAAUAGACGGUACCUGACUAAGAAGCCCGGCCUAACUACGUGCCAGCCGCCGCCGUAAU